RNAcentral lists this ribosomal RNA (253 nucleotides) under uncultured bacterium. RNAcentral describes it as "partial 16S ribosomal RNA". It matches the Rfam family "Bacterial small subunit ribosomal RNA", at positions 524 to 776 of the family's 1533-position model. The record is from RNAcentral.
UACGGAGGGCGCAAGAGUUGUUCGGAAUCACUGGGCGUAAAGCGCGGGUAGGCGGCUUGGUAAGUCGGGUGUGAAAGCCCGGGGCCUAACCACGGAACUGCACUCGAAACUGCCUCGCUCGAGUCCCUGAGAGGAUGGUGGAAUUCCCGGUGUAGUUGUGAAAUACGUAGAUAUCGGUAGGAACACCAGCGGCGAAGGAGGCCAUCUGGACGGUGACUGACGCUGAGACGCGAAACCGUAUGGAACAAACAUG